CAACUACCCGCCGCUUCAAAUCUCUUAUCUCCUUCAUUCUCUACUCCUCACCGAACAGCCCCCAAACCCAAGCUUAAUCCUAUCGAUUGAUUUUCCUGCUAUGAUCUAAAGCCUAACCCGAAACUUACUGCUUUGAGACCUAACCACCUGAUUGCUUAGCUUCUCAACUCCAAGGGCUACUACUCCGAACUUGAGAGCUCGCCACACUAAGGACCCAAACAACCCACAUCUAUUUCAUCCGAUUGCGGUGACGUUGACAGUUCGACAAUGGAACCCUAAAGUCUCUGAUCCAUCUACUUUAACGACAAACCUAUACCCGAAGAUUUGUCAAUGGCAGCGAGAAUGGCUCAGCAAUUGUUUGACUUUAGCUGGUAUGCAGCGACUAUUGGCUUGAGCUGGUGUCGGUCGUGUU
Molecule: long non-coding RNA, 412 nt
Organism: Hibiscus syriacus
Lineage: Eukaryota; Viridiplantae; Streptophyta; Magnoliopsida; Malvales; Malvaceae
Exons: 3
Source: RefSeq, a predicted model, not a curated record